This is a non-coding RNA of Tinamus guttatus (white-throated tinamou), 310 nucleotides long. Lineage: Eukaryota; Metazoa; Chordata; Aves; Tinamiformes; Tinamidae. The record is from RefSeq and is a predicted model, not a curated record.
UUUUUUGAAAUAGUUCAGCUCUUGUUGGUCGAUGGCAGUUUGAGAUGGGAGGACGACCUCUGUGAGCCUGUAGGUGCGACCCAGGAACCAUGGAAAGGUCGGCGGCUUCUGACAUGGCCUCUGAAAAGGCAAAUCCUUCCUACCACAGUACAGGGGCUGUUCAAAUGAGGAUCAAAAGUGCUAACAGUCACCAUGACAGACUGAGCCAAAGCAAAUCUAUGAUUCUGGCUGACAACGUGAAGGUUGCUGAACCUGUAAAUCGUCACAGAAGAAAUCAUUCCCAACAUAACUUAACACUUGCAGACAUCAU